GAACGAACGCUGGCGGCAUGCCUAACACAUGCAAGUCGAACGAAGCCUUCGGGCUUAGUGGCGCACGGGUGCGUAACACGUGGGAAUCUGCCCUCAGGUACGGAAUAACUCAGGGAAACUUGAGCUAAUACCGUAUGAUGUCUUCGGACCAAAGAUUUAUCGCCUGAGGAUGAGCCCGCGUCGGAUUAGCUAGUUGGUGGGGUAAAGGCCUACCAAGGCGACGAUCCGUAGCUGGUCUGAGAGGAUGAUCAGCCACACUGGGACUGAGACACGGCCCAGACUCCUACGGGAGGCAGCAGUGGGGAAUAUUGGACAAUGGGCGAAAGCCUGAUCCAGCAAUGCCGCGUGAGUGAAGAAGGCCUUCGGGUUGUAAAGCUCUUUUACCCGGGAAGAUAAUGACUGUACCGGGAGAAUAAGCCCCGGCUAACUCCGUGCCAGCAGCCGCGGUAAUACGGAGGGGGCUAGCGUUGUUCGGAAUUACUGGGCGUAAAGCGCACGUAGGCGGCUUUACAAGUCAGGGGUGAAAGCCCGCGGCUCAACCGCGGAAUUGCCCUUGAGACUGUAUCGCUUGAACACGGGAGAGGUGAGUGGAAUUCCGAGUGUAGAGGUGAAAUUCGUAGAUAUUCGGAAGAACACCAGUGGCGAAGGCGGCUCACUGGACCGUAGUUGACGCUGAGGUGCGAAAGCGUGGGGAGCAAACA
RNAcentral lists this ribosomal RNA (701 nucleotides) under uncultured Alphaproteobacteria bacterium. RNAcentral describes it as "bacterial SSU rRNA". It matches the Rfam family "Bacterial small subunit ribosomal RNA", at positions 27 to 774 of the family's 1533-position model. The record is from RNAcentral. Lineage: Bacteria; Pseudomonadati; Pseudomonadota; Alphaproteobacteria.